RNAcentral lists this ribosomal RNA (620 nucleotides) under uncultured Russula. RNAcentral describes it as "eukaryotic LSU rRNA". The stretch from base 183 to 336 matches the Rfam family "5.8S ribosomal RNA". The record is from RNAcentral. Lineage: Eukaryota; Fungi; Basidiomycota; Agaricomycetes; Russulales; Russulaceae.
ACAACCGAGGUGCAAAGGCUGUCGCUGACCCUCAAAGGUUGUGCACGCCCGAGCGCUCUCACACAAUCCAUCUCACCUUUGUGCAUCACCGCGUGGGUCCCCUUUGCGGGAGGGCUCGCGUUUUCACAUAAUAACUCGAUACAGUGUAGAAUGCUUCUUUUGCGGUCACACGCAAUCAAUACAACUUUCAACAACGGAUCUCUUGGCUCUCGCAUCGAUGAAGAACGCAGCGAAAUGCGAUACGUAAUGUGAAUUGCAGAAUUCAGUGAAUCAUCGAAUCUUUGAACGCACCUUGCGCCCCUUGGCAUUCCGAGGGGCACACCCGUUUGAGUGUCGUGAAUUCUUCAAAACCCUUUUUUCUUCGAACCAUCGUGGUCGGGAAAAGGAUUUUUGGACUUGGAGGUUUAAUGCUCGCCCUUUCUUUUGAAAGCGAGCUCCUCUCAAAUGAAUUAGUGGGGUCCGCUUUUGCUGAUCCUUGACGUGAUAAAAUGUUUCUACGUUUUGGGUUUAGCACUGUCGCUUNNNGCCUGCUCCUAACCCGUCUCAUUGACAAUGAUGGUGCUCUGGUCACUGCCGUCUACAUCGGCGGGAGGCUGGACCCACAAAAAGAAAAANCUUGA